Molecule: small RNA, 393 nt
Filed under: Rattus norvegicus (Norway rat)
Lineage: Eukaryota; Metazoa; Chordata; Mammalia; Rodentia; Muridae
Description: uncharacterized LOC108350240
Source: RNAcentral
UUGGCUCACUGCUAACAUCACAGAAUGAACUAAAACCAUUCCAUUGAUAACCACCUUGGAUCCAAAUGGCACCUUUGAGAAGCAAAAAUGUAACCUCUGGUUUAUAUUCCAGGGUUCUUGGCAGAAGGAUGGAUUGAUCCUGUCCAACUGAGCACACGCGGGAGCAGAGUGAGCCUGGUGCCCCUCAGUUCUCUCACACCUGCGGCUCCCCUCUCAUCACGGAUGUGAAGUAGGAAAGAAAUAGUUGAUAAACUUGAGGUGUGAUUCUUAGUGCCCGCCCUGCAGAGUUCCUGUGGAGGCUGAGAGGCACCUGCACCUUUAAGGAGGAUUAAAAUGUCUUCUUAAUGAAUUCUCUUACAGGACUGGAUUGCUUACCCCUCGAGUACAAAGUGA